RNAcentral lists this ribosomal RNA (568 nucleotides) under Hydora sp. 2 MF-2023a. RNAcentral's name for it is "partial large subunit ribosomal RNA". It matches the Rfam family "Archaeal large subunit ribosomal RNA", at positions 1937 to 2740 of the family's 2987-position model. The record is from RNAcentral. Lineage: Eukaryota; Metazoa; Arthropoda; Insecta; Coleoptera; Elmidae.
AUAUAAGAUUUGACCUGCCCACUGAAUGAUUGAAUGGCCGCGGUAUUUUGACCGUGCAAAGGUAGCAUAAUAAUUAGUUUUUUGAUUGAAAGCUGGAAUGAAUGGUUGGACGAGAAAAUUACUGUCUCUAAUUAAUUUUAAAUAAAAUUUUAUUUUUAAGUUAAAAAGCUUAAAUAUUAAUGAAAGACGAGAAGACCCUAUAGAGUUUUAUAAUUUUUUGUUAAUAUAAUUUUAAGUAUUUAAAUUUUGUUUUUAAAAAAUUAUUUUAUUGGGGUGAUAGAAAGAUUUAAUAAACUCUUUUUUUAUUUAUACAUUUAUAUAUGAUUAUUUGAUCCAUUUUUUGUGAUUAUAAGAAUAAAUUACCUUAGGGAUAACAGCGUAAUCUUUUUAGAGAGUUCUUAUCGAAAUAAGGGAUUGCGACCUCGAUGUUGGAUUAAAGUUAAUUUUUGGUGUAGAAGCUUUAAAAUUGAGUCUGUUCGACUUUUAAAACUUUACAUGAUCUGAGUUUAAACCGGUGUGAGCCAGGUUGGUUUCUAUCUUUAUUUAAUUAAAAUGUCUUAGUACGAAA